RNAcentral lists this ribosomal RNA (460 nucleotides) under uncultured bacterium. RNAcentral describes it as "partial 16S ribosomal RNA". It matches the Rfam family "Bacterial small subunit ribosomal RNA", at positions 339 to 795 of the family's 1533-position model. The record is from RNAcentral.
CUACGGGGGGCAGCAGUGAGGAAUAUUGGUCAAUGGGCGGGAGCCUGAACCAGCCAAGUCGCGUGAGGGAAGACGGUCCUAUGGAUUGUAAACCUCUUUAGGCGGGGAGCAAUGCCGGGCACGUGUGCCCGGAGGGAGAGUACCCGCAGAAUAAGCAUCGGCUAACUCCGUGCCAGCAGCCGCGGUAAUACGGAGGAUGCGAGCGUUAUCCGGAUUUACUGGGCGUAAAGCGCUCGUAGGCGGUAUGUCAAGUCAAGGGUGAAAUCCCCGCGCUCAACAUGGGAACUGCCUUUGAAACUGGCAAACUGGAGUGUGUGAGAGGAUAGUGGAAUUCCAGGUGUAGGAGUGAAAUCCGUAGAUAUCUGGAGGAACAUCAGUGGCGAAGGCGACUAUCUGGCACAUAACUGACGCUGAGGAGCGAAAGCGUGGGUAGCAAACAGGAUUAGAUACCCCAGUAGUC